GCAUAAAAGACGGUACAACAAAUGUCUCAAAUAAAUCCAAAUGAAAAUCAGUUCUUAAACAUAAUCUAAAUGUUCCAAUAGCCUCAACUACAACCCUUUUGUCAUCACGCACAAAGAUGAAUCUUCAAUGAACUUCCUUGCACUUUGACCCUCACAGAUAGAGCCUCGAAACGUAUCUAAAAUAGAGUGUUUCAUGAUCAUCAGACACAUUCGGUUAGAGCGUUCUCACUUCUCAACUUUAGCAUCAUCGAGAUUUUCCGCAGUAGAAAUGGAUUUCUCCACACGAAGUGUCAGAUCUAAAAACAUACAAUCGAUAAUAAUUUCUAUGGCUUCCUUCCAGACCUUAAAGUUUGUCUCAUUCAGCAAUGAGAUGUUAUUAAUUUGAGGAGAAAUAUUUGUAGCAUUGGUAAAAGACACUGAAUACACAGAACAAAGAAUUAAUAACAUGUUCACAUUUAAAUAAACAAGUCACGUAAUAUAUAUAAAACAAGACAUGCUCACAUAAUAGACUCAUCACAAGAUACCUAGCACAACAUCGAUUUCUAGUAUUUGGAUAGAGAAAUUAAUUUGAAAGUGCUACUCUCAAUGUAAUGAUCAAAUAUUAACAAUUAGUUUUGUCAAACAAUAGUCUUUCUGUGGAUCAACUAUUAUUCACAUGAAAUUUUUUUAUAAUUGUUACGUAUUUAUCAUCUCAGGUAUGUUGUUAUUUAGCCAAAUUGUGUUUUCC
Molecule: long non-coding RNA, 727 nt
Filed under: Lupinus angustifolius (narrow-leaved blue lupine)
Lineage: Eukaryota; Viridiplantae; Streptophyta; Magnoliopsida; Fabales; Fabaceae
Description: long non-coding RNA (LANG_LNC003221)
Source: RNAcentral